UGGGGACGGGGUGCAGCAGGCGCGAAAACUUUGCAAUACACGAAAGUGUGACAGGGCUAUCCCGAGUGCCAUCCGCUGAGGAAGGCUUUUACCCAGUGUAGAAAGCUGGGGGAAUAAGGAGAGGGCAAGACUGGUGUCAGCCGCCGCGGUAAUACCAGCUCUCCGAGUGGUGUGGAUGUUUAUUGGGCCUAAAGCAUCCGUAGCUGGCUGGACAAGUCCCCUGUUAAAUCCACCGAUUUAAUCGUUGGUGUGCGGGGGAUACUGUUUGGCUAGGGGACGGGAGAGGCCGACGGUAUUUUCGGGGUAGGGGUGAAAUCCUAUAAUCCCGGGAAGACCACCAGUGGCGAAGGCUGUCGGCUAGAACGCGCCCGACGGUGAGGGAUGAAAGCUGGGGGAGCGAACCGGAUUAGAUACCCGGGUAGUCCCGGCUGUAAACGAUGCAGGCUAGGUGUUUGGGCGGCCACGUGCCGCUCUAGUGCCGCAAGGAAGCUGUUAAGCCUGCCGCCUGGGGAGUACGGCCGCAAGGCUGAAACUUAAAGGAAUUGGCGGGGGAGCACCACAAGGGGUGAAGCUUGCGGUUUAAUUGGAGUCAACGCCGGAAAUCUCACCGGGAGCGACAGCAGUUUGAAGGCCAGAUUGAAGGUCUUGCCAGACGAGCUGAGAGGAGGUGCAUGGCCGUCGCCAGUUCGUGCCGUGAGGUGUCCUGUUAAGUCAGGCAACGAUCGAGACCCGCGUUCUCUGUUGCUACUGGUUUUGUGCCAGGCACACUGAGGAGACCGCCGCUGAUAAAGCGGAGGAAGGAGCGGGCCACGGCAGGUCAGUAUGCCCCGAAUCUCCCGGGCCACACGCGAGCUGCAAUGGCAGGUACAAUUGGUUCCAACCUCGAAAGGGGAAGGCAAUCCCGAAAGCCUGCCGUAGUUGGGAUCGAGGGUUGAAACCCAUCCUCGUGAACAUGGAAUCCCUAGUAAUCGCGUGUCACUAGCGCGCGGUGAAUACGUCCCUGCUCCUUGCACGAAUUCGCCGA
Molecule: ribosomal RNA, 1024 nt
Filed under: uncultured crenarchaeote
Lineage: Archaea; Thermoproteati; Thermoproteota
Description: bacterial SSU rRNA
Rfam family: Archaeal small subunit ribosomal RNA
Source: RNAcentral